UUGUCCGGAAUUACUGGGUGUAAAGGGAGUGUAGGCGGGAUAUCAAGUCAGAAGUGAAAAUUACGGGCUCAACUCGUAACCUGCUUUUGAAACUGUCAUUCUUGAGUGAAGUAGAGGCAAGCGGAAUUCCUAGUGUAGCGGUGAAAUGCGUAGAUAUUAGGAGGAACACCAGUGGCGAAGGCGGCUUGCUGGGCUUUUACUGACGCUGAGGCUCGAAAGCGUGGGGAGCAAACAGGAUUAGAUACCCUGGUAGUCCACGCCGUAAACGAUGAUUACUAGGUGUGGGGGGAUUGACCCCUUCCGUGCCGGAGUAAACACAAUAAGUAAUCCACCUGGGGAGUACGACCGCAAGGUUGAAACUCAC
RNAcentral lists this ribosomal RNA (364 nucleotides) under uncultured bacterium. Its description in RNAcentral is "bacterial SSU rRNA". It matches the Rfam family "Bacterial small subunit ribosomal RNA", at positions 541 to 904 of the family's 1533-position model. The record is from RNAcentral.